UACGAAGGGAGCUAGCGUUGUUCGGAAUCACUGGGCGUAAAGCGCACGUAGGCGGAUUUGUAAGUCAGGGGUGAAAUCCCGGGGCUCAACCUCGGAACUGCCUCUGAUACUGCAAAUCUCGAGUCCGGAAGAGGUGGGUGGAAUUCCUAGUGUAGAGGUGAAAUUCGUAGAUAUUAGGAAGAACACCGGUGGCGAAGGCGGCCCACUGGUCCGGUACUGACGCUGAGGUGCGAAAGCGUGGGGAGCAAACAGG
RNAcentral lists this ribosomal RNA (253 nucleotides) under uncultured bacterium. Its description in RNAcentral is "partial 16S ribosomal RNA". It matches the Rfam family "Bacterial small subunit ribosomal RNA", at positions 524 to 776 of the family's 1533-position model. The record is from RNAcentral.